Molecule: transfer RNA, 73 nt
Filed under: Streptomyces rubrolavendulae
Lineage: Bacteria; Bacillati; Actinomycetota; Actinomycetes; Kitasatosporales; Streptomycetaceae
Description: tRNA-Pro
Source: RNAcentral
GCGCGCCCCGGGACGGGGCGGCCCGCCGGCUCCGGGGGCCGGCGGGCCGCCCGGUCCGUGCGGGCGGCGGGUC